Vigna unguiculata (cowpea) is the source of this 2562-nucleotide RNA transcript. It is a transcript of the gene named Exostosin family protein, with no coding region annotated. NCBI's taxonomy places the organism in Eukaryota, Viridiplantae, Streptophyta, Magnoliopsida, Fabales, Fabaceae. The record is from RefSeq and is a predicted model, not a curated record.
UCCAUAUUUGAUAAAUAAAUAAAUAUAUAUAAAUAAAAUAUAAAGAAGGAGGAAUCUGAAUGUAGGGUUAUUGAGUUGUGUUGUGUGAAUGCAGUGGUAUGGGUGAGCACUAGAGGCUGUGUAAUGAAUGAAUGGUAGAAUUGGUUCCAAUGAAGGUGGGCGUAUAAAUGGAAAUUAGGCGUACAUAUAGCAGGUUGAAAAAACUGAUGAGGAUGCCGUACACGAAAAACAUGAACGAGGAAGCCAAAGCCAAAACCAGAAAACCCAAACCCAGUUUCGUUUCUUCUAUCACCACCACUUCCCAGACACUCUUCGCCAUGGCGCGAAAACCUCUUCUCAAGCAAACCCUAGCUACGCUCUUUCUCCUCUUCGUCCUCUAUGCAAUCUUCAACGCCUUCUUCUACCCAACCGAUUCCUCCGCCUUCGACUCCACCUUCUCCUUCAACUCCGCCUCCUCCGUUCUCCUCGCUGGCACCGGCGCCAAAUUCCCCACCGUAAAAGUCUUCCUUUACGAUCUCCCCAGCAGGUUCACCCACGGCGUCAUCCGCCACCACGCCCUCGCGCGUGGUGCACACUUCUCCGAACAACACGAUGACGUCUCCUUGCUCAAGUACCCCGGCCACCAGCACAUGGCCGAGUGGUACCUCUUUGCGGAUCUCUCCCGAAACGAUUCCGGACGAUCAGGCUCGCCCGUGGUUCGCGUCAUGGAUCCCGAGGAGGCCGAUUUCUUCUUCGUGCCGUUCUUCUCGUCGCUGAGUCUCAUCGUGAACCCGCCUCGACCUCCCGGCUCGGCUGCCAGUUUGGAGAAACCGAUCUACAGCGACGAGGAGAAUCAGGAGGCGCUGGUGGAGUGGCUUGAGGAGCAGGAGUAUUGGAAGAGGAGCAACGGGAGGGACCACGUGAUCGUGGCUUCGGAUCCGAAUGCGAUGUACCGGGUUAUCGACCGGAUAAAAAAUUGUGUGCUGCUUGUCUCAGAUUUCGGGCGGUUGCGACCCGACCAGGGAUCGCUGGUGAAGGAUGUUGUUGUACCCUACUCGCACCGCAUCAGAACGUACCCUGGUGAUGUCGGUGUCGCCGAUCGCAAGACCUUGUUAUUUUUCAUGGGCAAUCGGUAUCGCAAAGAGGGAGGGAAAAUCCGUGAUAUACUCUUUCAAAUUCUAGAAAAUGAGGAGGAUGUCAUAAUAAAGCAUGGAGCACAAUCCAGAGAGAGUCGACGGGCAGCUUCACAAGGAAUGCAUACAUCCAAGUUCUGUUUACAUCCUGCAGGAGAUACUCCAUCAGCCUGCCGACUGUUUGAUGCUAUAGUUAGCUUGUGCAUUCCAGUCAUUGUCAGUGAUAGUAUUGAGUUGCCUUUUGAAGAUACUUUAGACUAUAGAAAAUUUGCUGUGUUUGUGGAAACUACUUCUGCUAUAAAGCCAGGAUAUUUGGUGUCAAAAUUGAGAGCUCUGUCCAAACAAAGAAUCUUACAAUACCAAAAGGAACUAAAGGAGGUUUGGGAGAAGAUACAUGCUCAUUUCACUUCUCAAACCAAAGCUCGGGCUCGUUAGCUAUGCAUCGAGCUUCAUACCAUGAAGAAAUGUGAACUACCAAUCAAUUAGUUCCUUUUGUGCAUCAAAGCAUUGGUUCAUUCUCUUUAUUCAAUUGGCGAUCCUGUAUUUGAAUGCGGACAACUCAAUAUUAUCCUUGAAGGACUUUUGGUUGAAUGAGUCCUUCCUCUCUUUCAUCAAUAGUAACCCAGACUUGUUCUUGUUAGACGAAGUUGAAUCUCUCCUCGUUACUCAAGAAGCACAUAUUGCAAAGUUUUGGCAUAAUACUAACAAUAUUUCUUUGGAUCCCCCUCAAGCAAAUUCUCAAACAGCUUCUACUCUCAUGUCCACCUUGCUCAGAUGGCUUCUUAUUCUUCUUUGACUUUUCAUCCUCCUUCCUGUCAUGGUGGUUGUUUUCAAUGUGGCCGAGUCGUGGACGUCGAAGUGGACAUGUUGGUCAUGGAAGUAUUCAAUGUCAAGUUUGCAACAAAUAUGGUCACACAGCAACCCUUUGCUAUCAUCGCUUUAACCCCAACUAUGUUCUUCAACCCUACAAUAUUCCUUUUCCUCAAAAUCUGGCACCGUAUAUCCUUCAUAUCAGCCAUCAUUUCCAGGUAUACCACCUCCAAGUGCAUUUGCUCAUUUUCUAGGCUAUCAACUUCCAGGGCCAUCCACUACGUAUUGCCUUCACUUCACCACUUGUUUUUGCCUUCCUCUUAGGCCCAUUACAAUACCACUGUAUCGGCUUCACAACCCCAUGCUUAUGUUUCUUAGUGCACACUGGUCUAUCAACCUGUUCAACAAUCUCAGAAUUCAGGAGAUGCUUGUGUCUUCCUUGGGAAUGGACAAGGUUAAGCGAUACUUCGAAUAUGAAGAACCCAACGGGACAGUUAAUGAGAUCUGGCGCCAAGUUUCGAAAAAACUUCCCUUGAUUAAAUUGAUGAUUAACCGUGAGAAAAGGCUUUUUGGAAGGGAAUCGGUGUGCUCUUGCGUAUGCACAAACCAGACUACGGUUAUUAACCUAUAGCACUUGUCC